Streptococcus pneumoniae SP11-BS70 is the source of this 97-nucleotide non-coding RNA. The record is from Rfam. Lineage: Bacteria; Bacillati; Bacillota; Bacilli; Lactobacillales; Streptococcaceae.
UGUGCUAUACUAGUAAGGUUGAAUGAAUCAACCCUUGGUGCUUAGCUUCUUUCACCAAGCAUAUUACACGCGGAUAACCGCCAAAGGAGAAAAGAUG